UCCUCACACCUUGCAGGUACAGGUGAAGGCGAAUGGCCAUCAUCCGGUGCUGUUGCUGAGCUGGAACUUCAGCACACCGUCUCAAUGUGUGGAGAGCUCAGUGCGCUACAGGCGGGGAGGAGGCCAUUGGAGGACCAAUAAACCAAUAACCGGACAGUCUUUCAGUAUGUCGUUUUUCUCAGAGGAUCUCCCGUAUGAGUUUCAAGUGCGGACACGAGUGGAGUAUUUCUGUGGCCAGUCCAGGUUCUGGAGUGACUGGAGUGCUCCUUUAUUCUGGGUUCCACCACAACUGUCCAAACGAUUAGGUCCAGCACAGCAUGGUCACAAUCACUGCACAGGGUCCAGCCCGCAGCAGCUCACCGUUGUAACUCUGUUGGGGAUUGGCUGGCUUUGGCAGUUUCUGGAACUCUGAC
This is a long non-coding RNA of Megalops cyprinoides (Indo-Pacific tarpon), 413 nucleotides long. RefSeq lists it as uncharacterized. The record is from RefSeq and is a predicted model, not a curated record. The transcript is spliced from 3 exons. Lineage: Eukaryota; Metazoa; Chordata; Actinopteri; Elopiformes; Megalopidae.